RNAcentral lists this unclassified non-coding RNA (350 nucleotides) under soil metagenome. Its description in RNAcentral is "partial contains 5.8S ribosomal RNA, internal transcribed spacer 2, and large subunit ribosomal RNA". The stretch from base 1 to 120 matches the Rfam family "5.8S ribosomal RNA", at positions 35 to 154 of the family's 154-position model. The record is from RNAcentral.
GAUGAAGAACGCAGCGAAAUGCGAUAAGUAAUGUGAAUUGCAGAAUUCAGUGAAUCAUCGAGUCUUUGAACGCACAUUGCGCCCCCUGGUAUUCCGGGGGGCAUGCCUGUCCGAGCGUCAUUGCUGCCCUCAAGCACGGCUUGUGUGUUGGGCCCCCGUCCCCGGUUCUCCCCGGGGACGGGCCCGAAAGGCAGCGGCGGCACCGCGUCCGAUCCUCGAGCGUAUGGGGCUUUGUCACCCGCUCUGUAGGCCCGGCCGGCGCCAGCCGACACCCCAACUUUAUUUUCUAAGGUUGACCUCGGAUCAGGUAGGGAUACCCGCUGAACUUAAGCAUAUCAAUAAGCGGAGGA